This is a transfer RNA of Gallionella capsiferriformans ES-2, 74 nucleotides long. It matches the Rfam family "tRNA". Rfam says of the family: Transfer RNA (tRNA) molecules are approximately 80 nucleotides in length. Their secondary structure includes four short double-helical elements and three loops (D, anti-codon, and T loops). Further hydrogen bonds mediate the characteristic L-shaped molecular structure. tRNAs have two regions of fundamental functional importance: the anti-codon, which is responsible for specific mRNA codon recognition, and the 3' end, to which the tRNAs corresponding amino acid is attached (by aminoacyl-tRNA synthetases). tRNAs cope with the degeneracy of the genetic code in two manners: having more than one tRNA (with a specific anti-codon) for a particular amino acid; and 'wobble' base-pairing, i.e. permitting non-standard base-pairing at the 3rd anti-codon position. NCBI's taxonomy places the organism in Bacteria, Pseudomonadati, Pseudomonadota, Betaproteobacteria, Nitrosomonadales, Gallionellaceae. The record is from Rfam.
GGGUCUGUAGCUCAGCUGGUUAGAGCACUGUGUUGAUAACGCAGGGGUCGUUGGUUCGAGUCCAACUAGACCCA